This 45-nucleotide non-coding RNA is filed under the name Schistosoma mattheei. The record is from RNAcentral. Lineage: Eukaryota; Metazoa; Platyhelminthes; Trematoda; Strigeidida; Schistosomatidae.
AUCCAGUUGAUGAGUGUCGAAUGAGACGAAACGCGUGUCCUGGAU